GGGGUUGUGGCUCAGUGGUAGAGCGCUUGCCUAGCAUGUGCAAAGCCCUGGGUUCAAACCUCAACACCA
This 69-nucleotide transfer RNA is filed under the name Ictidomys tridecemlineatus (thirteen-lined ground squirrel). RNAcentral's name for it is "Spermophilus tridecemlineatus (thirteen-lined ground squirrel) tRNA". It matches the Rfam family "tRNA". From Rfam's summary of the family: Transfer RNA (tRNA) molecules are approximately 80 nucleotides in length. Their secondary structure includes four short double-helical elements and three loops (D, anti-codon, and T loops). Further hydrogen bonds mediate the characteristic L-shaped molecular structure. tRNAs have two regions of fundamental functional importance: the anti-codon, which is responsible for specific mRNA codon recognition, and the 3' end, to which the tRNAs corresponding amino acid is attached (by aminoacyl-tRNA synthetases). tRNAs cope with the degeneracy of the genetic code in two manners: having more than one tRNA (with a specific anti-codon) for a particular amino acid; and 'wobble' base-pairing, i.e. permitting non-standard base-pairing at the 3rd anti-codon position. The record is from Rfam by way of RNAcentral. Lineage: Eukaryota; Metazoa; Chordata; Mammalia; Rodentia; Sciuridae.